Molecule: long non-coding RNA, 667 nt
Organism: Rhagoletis pomonella (apple maggot)
Lineage: Eukaryota; Metazoa; Arthropoda; Insecta; Diptera; Tephritidae
Exons: 4
Source: RefSeq, a predicted model, not a curated record
CUUUCUGGCACGCGGCGGUUGUGUAAUCUGGAGGUUAGGAGGUUGCUUGGCAUAAUUUCUGCUGGUGUUACUUUCCAGCAAAUAAGCCGAAAAGUCUGCACACCAUCCAGCUGAUGAAAAAAUCUUAUGGGCACGAAAUAUAAAGAAGCCCAAGGAGGCCAGAAAAAGUAAUUUUCUUCUUACAUCUCCUGGGUCUGGACACGGCUGGUCAUGUGCAUAAGCCUGGUACGCCAAACUUUCUAGAAAAUUUACACCGCACUGAUAAAGUCUAGUAAUAAAUUUUCGCGCAUUCCCUGGUAAUAAUGCAAAGCUUUACAUAUGGUUGCCAUUAAGUGUGUGUUUAGCGAUAUUUCCGCUGCUACCACCAUCAGUUGGCUAUGCAAACACAUGGUUGCUGCUGCUGGGCAUGUUUGCAACGAUGAUACGUCCCUUUGUUGUUAAAUCUCAUGUGCAUUGGCAUAUCAAAUUACCAGCCAUGUGAACGUAUACAGGUAAACCAAUUUAAUGCUUGGCGCAUAGAUGCUGUGGCACUUAUUUGCAGCAUGACCUGUCCAAGUCCAAUUAUCCAACAGCGUUAUUCGCCUGCUGUCAAAUUAUCGCAACACAGCAGCAAUUAUUAGCGCCUAGGCGCUUUUAUAAAAUCAGUAGUAAAUUUAUUAAACAACAA